UCAAGACCUUUUCUUUCUUUCAUUUGGUGAAAUGAACUGAACUUUAUCUACAUUGUUUAUUUGGAAGAAAAUUGUACCUUUUGUUUAAACUCAUCCAUUUUUUUUGUAUGUGCUUUUCACCUUGAUUGUUUCGCUCAUUAAAAACCCGAACAAAGAGUGGAAUCCCAGUCUGGUCAAGUCCUCAAGUGUGGAAACCCAUGACGUUAAAAUACACUUGUAAGAACUACAUGGUGCCAGACCACCCCGGCCUCUUUGCCGGCCACGUCUGGCCCAUGUACUUGAAACACAAGAACAUCAUGGUGAGU
Long non-coding RNA from Syngnathus acus (greater pipefish), 305 nucleotides. RefSeq lists it as uncharacterized. NCBI's taxonomy places the organism in Eukaryota, Metazoa, Chordata, Actinopteri, Syngnathiformes, Syngnathidae. The record is from RefSeq and is a predicted model, not a curated record. The transcript has 3 exons.